This 253-nucleotide ribosomal RNA is filed under the name uncultured bacterium. RNAcentral describes it as "partial 16S ribosomal RNA". It matches the Rfam family "Bacterial small subunit ribosomal RNA", at positions 524 to 776 of the family's 1533-position model. The record is from RNAcentral.
GACGAACCGUGCAAACGUUAUUCGGAAUCACUGGGCAUAAAGGGCGCGUAGGCGGCGACUCUAGUCAGAUGUGAAAGUCCUGGGCUUAACCUGGGGACUGCAUUUGAUACUGGGUUGCUUGAAUUCGGGAGAGGAUAGCGGAAUUCCCAGUGUAGAGGUGAAAUUCGUAGAUAUUGGGAAGAGCACCGGUGGCGAAGGCGGCUAUCUGGACCGACAUUGACGCUGAGGCGCGAAAGCGUGGGGAGCAAACAGG